GAUGAACGCUGGCGGCGUGCCUAAUACAUGCAAGUCGAGCGAACAGACGAGGAGCUUGCUCCUUCGACGUUAGCGGCGGACGGGUGAGUAACACGUAGGUAACCUAACUAUAAGACUGGGAUAACUUCGGGAAACCGGAGCUAAUACCGGAUAAUAUAUCGAACCGCAUGGUUCGAUAGUGAAAGAUGGCUUUGCUAUCACUUAUAGAUGGACCUGCGCCGUAUUAGCUAGUUGGUAAGGUAACGGAUUAGCAAGGCAACGAUACGGAGCCGACCUGAGAGGGUGAUCGGCCACACUGGAACUGAGACACGGUCCAGACUCCUACGGGAGGCAGCAGUAGGGAAUCUUCCGCAAUGGGCGAAAGCCUGACGGAGCAACGCCGCGUGAGUGAUGAAGGUCUUCGGAUCGUAAAACUCUGUUAUUAGGGAAGAACAAACGUGUAAGUAACUGUGCACGUCUUGACGGUACCUAAUCAGAAAGCCACGGCUAACUACGUG
Molecule: ribosomal RNA, 497 nt
Filed under: uncultured bacterium
Lineage: Bacteria
Description: partial 16S ribosomal RNA
Rfam family: Bacterial small subunit ribosomal RNA
Source: RNAcentral